UGCAAGUCGAGCGGAAACGAUCCCAGCUUGCUGGGAGGCGUCGAGCGGCGGACGGGUGAGUAAUGCAUAGGAAUCUGCCCGGUAGUGGGGGAUAACUUGAGGAAACUCAAGCUAAUACCGCAUACGCCCUACGGGGGAAAGCAGGGGCUCUUCGGACCUUGCGCUAUCGGAUGAGCUUAUGUCGGAUUAGCUAGUUGGUGAGGUAACGGCUUACCAAGGCGACGAUCCGUAGCUGGUCUGAGAGGAUGAUCAGCCACAUCGGGACUGAGACACGGCCCGAACUCCUACGGGAGGCAGCAGUGGGGAAUAUUGGACAAUGGGCGAAAGCCUGAUCCAGCCAUGCCGCGUGUGUGAAGAAGGCCCUCGGGUUGUAAAGCACUUUCAGUGAGGAAGAAGGCUUGUCGGUUAAUACCCGGCAGGAAGGACAUCACUCACAGAAGAAGCCCCGGCUAACUCCGUGCCAGCAGCCGCGGUAAUACGGAGGGGGCAAGCGUUAAUCGGAAUUACUGGGCGUAAAGCGUGCGUAGGCGGCUUGGUAAGCCGGUUGUGAAAGCCCCGGGCUCAACCUGGGAAUGGCAUCCGGAACUGUCAGGCUAGAGUGCAGGAGAGGAAGGUAGAAUUCCCGGUGUAGCGGUGAAAUGCGUAGAGAUCGGGAGGAAUACCAGUGGCGAAGGCGGCCUUCUGGACUGACACUGACGCUGAGGUACGAAAGCGUGGGUAGCAAACAGGAUUAGAUACCCUGGUAGUCCACGCCGUAAACGAUGUCGACUAGCCGUUGGGGUCCUUGAGACCUUUGUGGCGCAGUUAACGCACUAAGUCGACCGCCUGGGGAGUACGGCCGCAAGGUUAAAACUCAAAUGAAUUGACGGGGGCCCGCACAAGCGGUGGAGCAUGUGGUUUAAUUCGAUGCAACGCGAAGAACCUUACCUACCCUUGACAUCGUGCGAACUUGGUAAAGAUACCUUGGUGCCUUCGGGAGCGCACNGACAGGUGCUGCAUGGCUGUCGUCAGCUCGUGUUGUGAAAUGUUGGGUUAAGUCCCGUAACAAGCGCAACCCUUAUCCUUAUUUGCCAGCGAUCCGGUCGGGAACUCUAAGGGAACUGCCGGGGAAAAACCGGAAGAAGGGGGGG
Molecule: ribosomal RNA, 1130 nt
Filed under: Halomonas halmophila
Lineage: Bacteria; Pseudomonadati; Pseudomonadota; Gammaproteobacteria; Oceanospirillales; Halomonadaceae
Description: bacterial SSU rRNA
Rfam family: Bacterial small subunit ribosomal RNA
Source: RNAcentral